UUAACUUGCCAAAGAAAAAAGUCUCAGUUACAAAGCCCUCAAAACAUCUCACAAAUCAGAUCCAGGCAGGAAAACAGAUGAAGAAUCACCACAUAGUCAUCAUUUCUGGAAAACCCAUUCCAAGUGGAACAGAAGCAGUGGUUUUGGGCUCAAACCAGGGCAUGUUUACAUCCAGAACCAGUGCUAAGGAAACAGCCACACUGGCUGUCUGAGAGGGUGCACAGCCAGCAAGGGACUGGUUUAUAGGGAAGCAGCAGUUUCUCUGCAGACUGACCCCUCACUGGGGUGAUCUGCUUUCCCUCCGACCCACAGGCCCCAGAGAGAAGACCUACCUGGCCACUUGCUAAGCGAAGCUUUCUUCCUGGCAUAGGAUGGCAGAGGAGAUGCACUAAUGAGCUGGUGUUCUGCUCACUGUCACUGCUCCUUCUUUCUUGGUGACUGUCUGAAGUUACCAGCCAGCCACUUUCUCCAAGCCAGUUGUUAUCUCUCUCCCUGGAUGCGUUUAUGGACCCAGAUGGGCUCUGGCGGGAAGUACAGGUUUGAGCUCUGCAGUCUACAGAUCAGAAUCACUUCUGGGUUUUGAUUUGUAAGUCCUAGACUCAUCAAACCUAUCACACCACCCACUCCAAAAUCAAUCAGUUUCACGCCCAUCCCUCGCAAAGAGAACUUUGAAAUGACAAGGACAACUAACUCUGGAAACAGCAAAGUAUGCUGCAGAAUGCCUUUCCUUUAGCAAGAAGAAAGGAAUCAGUGAAUUAUAGCAGAGACCAAGUAUUAGGGAUUUAAAGCUCAAGUCUGGAAAUCCAUGUGUCUCCUCAGAACAGAGUUCCAGCUCAGAGUUCCAGCUCAGUGAGUGCAGACAGGCUCCCAGCCCAGCACGCCCAGUCGCGCUAAAUCGAAGAAGAGCUGGAUUGUAAGCACUGAAAAGAUCAUCCAUUUGUGUGCUGAAUACUUCCAUUUCUUACUUCCAUUUUAUGAAGAACAUGAAGGAAUUUAAUUGACUUUACCAAGGUCACCAGCAAAGCAAGGAUGAGAAACCUGAGAGUGAAUCUUUUCUGCUUCCAAAUGUUUUGAAAGUUGGCUCAUAUUAAAAAAAAAAAAAAAAAGGAGGGGUGAUGAAAGAGCACUUCUGGGAAUGAAAAAGAGAAACCUUGUCUCUCAAUGCCUAGAGGUCUGUGCUAGUUCCAAAGAUAAGCUUUUAUUUUAGGCACAGAGCUCAAAUUAAUCAUCACUUUAACUGGACAUUUUCCUUAUUAUAUCCUGAAUUUUAAAAAAUAAAUUAAA
Molecule: non-coding RNA, 1284 nt
Organism: Microcebus murinus (gray mouse lemur)
Lineage: Eukaryota; Metazoa; Chordata; Mammalia; Primates; Cheirogaleidae
Source: RefSeq, a predicted model, not a curated record